CACCUCUCAGGGUCGCAUCUAAAGAGUUUCCAGUACUCUACCAGUCUCGACUAUGGGAGGGAGAGUCAAGUAGAGGCCUGUCCACUCCAUUCCUUGCUUGGGCAGUGGCUAGUGAGUGGAAGGCAAUCUGCUACAUGU
This is a small nucleolar RNA of Tachyglossus aculeatus (Australian echidna), 138 nucleotides long. The record is from RefSeq and is a predicted model, not a curated record. NCBI's taxonomy places the organism in Eukaryota, Metazoa, Chordata, Mammalia, Monotremata, Tachyglossidae.